Molecule: ribosomal RNA, 453 nt
Filed under: uncultured organism
Description: partial 16S ribosomal RNA
Rfam family: Bacterial small subunit ribosomal RNA
Source: RNAcentral
CGUACACUCCUACGGGAGGCAGCAGUGGGGAAUCUUGCGCAAUGGGCGAAAGCCUGACGCAGCCAUGCCGCGUGAAUGAUGAAGGUCUUAGGAUUGUAAAAUUCUUUCACCGGGGACGAUAAUGACGGUACCCGGAGAAGAAGCCCCGGCUAACUUCGUGCCAGCAGCCGCGGUAAUACGAAGGGGGCUAGCGUUGCUCGGAAUUACUGGGCGUAAAGGGAGCGUAGGCGGACAUUUAAGUCAGGGGUGAAAUCCCGGGGCUCAACCUCGGAAUUGCCUUUGAUACUGGGUGUCUUGAGUAUGAGAGAGGUGUGUGGAACUCCGAGUGUAGAGGUGAAAUUCGUAGAUAUUCGGAAGAACACCAGUGGCGAAGGCGACACACUGGCUCAUUACUGACGCUGAGGCUCGAAAGCGUGGGGAGCAAACAGGAUUAGAUACCCUUGUAGUCCCAUG